This 505-nucleotide small RNA is filed under the name Pongo abelii (Sumatran orangutan). Its description in RNAcentral is "processed transcript". Lineage: Eukaryota; Metazoa; Chordata; Mammalia; Primates; Hominidae. The record is from RNAcentral.
CUGGUCCAUGCAGGAGGACGGGCUGCUUGUGCUGUGCCGCAUUGCCAGCAAUGUCCUCAACACCAAGGUGAAGGGCCCAUUUGUCACCUGGCAGGUGGUACGGGACAUUUUGCAUGCCACGUUUGAAGAGUCUUUGGAUAAAACAUCUCAUUCUGUUGGACGAAGAGCUCGCUACAUAGUCAAAAACCCACAGGCCUAUCUCAACUAUAAGUCAGCCCAUAUGGCCCUGGCCAAACCCCUGUAAGAGACAGUUUGGGACUCAGUGUUCUCGGUUACCCAUGAAGGACGGAAGUUCAGAGAAGCCAAGGUGUAAAGUGUGAACAGACCUGACUGAGGUCAGGCUUGGCUGACCCCAAAUCCUUCAUUCGUAAAAGCUUCAGUCAUGCAACAGGCAUAUAAGUAACUCAUGCUUCAAGGUCAGCCAAGGCCAGAAACAUGAGAAUGGAGCUCUCUGAAGGUUCCGAACAUGGGCAUCAGUGCAAUUCCCAGACUCCAGCUUUGUCUC